GAGGUAAUCUAGUAGAUUGGAAAAGCAAGAAGCAAACAGUUGUAUCUAUAUCUAGUGCUGAUGCCAAAUACCGUGCCAUGGAUCAAACCACAGGUGAACUAAUAUGAUUGAAGAUACUGCUAGAAGAUUGGUAUUAUAUAUAUUAAAUCACUAGCUAAAAUUAGGGGAUUGCAUCAUGCAUUCUAGGCUAGGAUUAUUAAUUAUGCAUACUAUUAAGGAUUAAAUCAUGCACAUAAUUAUAGGAUUAAUU
Molecule: unclassified non-coding RNA, 250 nt
Filed under: Hevea brasiliensis (rubber tree)
Lineage: Eukaryota; Viridiplantae; Streptophyta; Magnoliopsida; Malpighiales; Euphorbiaceae
Source: RNAcentral